This 519-nucleotide ribosomal RNA is filed under the name Copidognathus sp. KE0812_7. RNAcentral's name for it is "SSU rRNA". It matches the Rfam family "Eukaryotic small subunit ribosomal RNA", at positions 355 to 876 of the family's 1831-position model. The record is from RNAcentral. Lineage: Eukaryota; Metazoa; Arthropoda; Arachnida; Trombidiformes; Halacaridae.
ACGGGUAACGGGGAAUCAGGGUUCGAUUCCGGAGAGGGAGCCUGAGAAACGGCUACCACAUCCAAGGAAGGCAGCAGGCACGCAAAUUACCCACUCCCGGCACGGGGAGGUAGUGACGAAAAAUAACAAUACGGGACUCUAAUGAGGCCCCGUAAUUGGAAUGAGUACAAUCUAAAUCCUUUAACGAGGAUCAAUUGGAGGGCAAGUCUGGUGCCAGCAGCCGCGGUAAUUCCAGCUCCAAUAGCGUAUAUUAAAGUUGUUGCGGUUAAAAAGCUCGUAGUUGGAUCUCAGUUCAUGUUAAGUGGUCCACUUGCCGGUGGUUACUGCUUAGCUUGAACAUUUUACAGACCUGAUUCGUGAUGCUCUUCACCGGGUGUCACGGGCGAUCUGUACGUUUACUUUGAACAAAUUAGAGUGCUUAAAGCAGGCGUAAAGCCCGCAUAAUCUUGCAUGGAAUAAUGAAAUAGGACCUCAGUUCUAUUUUGUUGGUCUUCGGAUCUAGAGGUAAUGAUUAAGAGG